UAACACGAUCUGGGGUGCCAAGUUGGCUGAGAAAUACCCAUUGAACCUGAUCGCGGUAAUGCGCGCGAAGGGAGAUUCAUUGAUGAAGAC
RNAcentral lists this non-coding RNA (90 nucleotides) under Leuconostoc lactis. Its description in RNAcentral is "TPP sequence". It matches the Rfam family "TPP riboswitch aptamer (THI element)". Rfam says of the family: Vitamin B(1) in its active form thiamin pyrophosphate (TPP) is an essential coenzyme that is synthesised by coupling of pyrimidine and thiazole moieties in bacteria. The previously detected thiamin-regulatory element, thi box was extended, resulting in a new, highly conserved RNA secondary structure, the THI element, which is widely distributed in eubacteria and also occurs in some archaea. Analysis of operon structures identified a large number of new candidate thiamin-regulated genes, mostly transporters, in various prokaryotic organisms. The record is from Rfam by way of RNAcentral. Lineage: Bacteria; Bacillati; Bacillota; Bacilli; Lactobacillales; Lactobacillaceae.